UUGAACGCUGGCGGCAGGCCUAACCCAUGCAAGUCGCGCGGAUGAAGGGAGCUUGCUCCUGGAUUCAGCGGCGGACGGGUGAGUAAUGCCUAGGAAUCUGCCUGGUAGUGGGGGAUAACGUCCGGAAACGGGCGCUAAUACCGCAUACGUCCUGAGGGAGAAAGUGGGGGAUCUUCGGACCUCACGCUAUCAGAUGAGCCUAGGUCGGAUUAGCUAGUUGGUGGGGUAAAGGCCUACCAAGGCGACGAUCCGUAACUGGUCUGAGAGGAUGAUCAGUCACACUGGAACUGAGACACGGUCCAGACUCCUACGGGAGGCAGCAGUGGGGAAUAUUGGACAAUGGGCGAAAGCCUGAUCCAGCCAUGCCGCGUGUGUGAAGAAGGUCUUCGGAUUGUAAAGCACUUUAAGUUGGGAGGAAGGGCAGUAAGUUAAUACCUUGCUGUUUUGACGUUACCAACAGAAUAAGCACCGGCUAACUUCGUG
This 483-nucleotide ribosomal RNA is filed under the name uncultured bacterium. RNAcentral describes it as "partial 16S ribosomal RNA". It matches the Rfam family "Bacterial small subunit ribosomal RNA", at positions 30 to 507 of the family's 1533-position model. The record is from RNAcentral.